Long non-coding RNA from Manacus vitellinus (golden-collared manakin), 557 nucleotides. RefSeq lists it as uncharacterized. The transcript has 4 exons. The record is from RefSeq and is a predicted model, not a curated record. NCBI's taxonomy places the organism in Eukaryota, Metazoa, Chordata, Aves, Passeriformes, Pipridae.
CUGGAGCCCUUGGAAGUGCGUCACUCCCUGCGGAGCUGCUGCGGCGUUCCCGAGGGCUGUGCCUGCGGAUCCAGCGUGGAGAGCCCCAUCUCCAGCAGCCAGGUGGAGCAGACACCCAGGGAAAAGGGACUUCGGUGUGGGACAGAGCUCAAAUGUCAGUGCCCCUUCCGCCACGGCCUAGCAGCCUGGAUGUAGUCGUCCUGUCAGAAGUAUGAAAUUUACAGCAGAAGAAUUAAUUUAACACCAAAAAAGCUCUCCCUCAUCUGAACUGUCAUUCAAAAUGCACAAUGAAAAUCACCAAGGAGGAGUUUUCUACCCCACUGUCUACAGGACUCCUGGAAGAAUCUUCUGAAACUUGCGGAAGUGGUCUAUUCCAAGAACUCUAAUAUACGAAGUCUUGUUAAGGUUAAAGUCUCUGCAGGCUGAAGUUCAUUUUUUGAAGAAGAAACACAGUUAACAGUAAAAUCAGUUCGUAGGUAGGAUAUUGCCAGCCUGGUCAUUUCCCUUCUUGCAUGUGCUCAGUUGGAAGUCAACUAAAAAUCAGCAGAAGCUUCCAG